AUGAACAUGUGUGCAUCAAUUCUUACCCUGUUUGGGGAGGCAUCGGGCCUCCGCGUCAACCUUGCAAAGAGCGCGGUCUACCCUAUACGAUGCUCUGACGAGAUCAUGGAAUCAGUGGAGAGAGCACUUGGAUGCCCGAGAGGCGCCUUCCCAUGCAAAUACCUUGGUCUGCCGCUCACCCUGAGAAAACAGUCACAUGUACAGCUAUCAGGCCUUGUGGACCAACUAGCAACGGCAUUGCCAAAAUGGAAAGCAGCAAGGAUGCCAAAGAGUGGAAGAAUGCUUCUUGUUCAAUCUGUACUCUGUGCAAUUCCGCUGCACGCGAUGAUGGCGCUCGACCUCCCACAGAAGACAAUUUCAGCAAUGAACGGAAUAUGCCGCAGCUUCUUAUGGUGCGCUGAGUCAAGCUCGUCUGGCGGAAACUGCACAGUCGCUUGGGAGGCUGUGUGUGCCCCCAAAUGGGCGGGUGGAUUAGGCAUACCUAACCUAGGGUGGAUGAACAAAGCUGUGCAUGCCAGGUGGCCUUGGUUACAGAGAUCAGACACAUCGCGACCAUGGGCAGAAUUUGACAUCACAGUACCAAAAGCUUCAAGACAACUCUUCAACGCGGCUGCUCACUGGGUUCUCGGCGACGGAAAUACAACACUCUUUUGGGAAGAUAGAUGGCUCGAAGGACACCGGAUCGUGGAGAUUGCA
RNAcentral lists this ribosomal RNA (696 nucleotides) under Triticum aestivum (bread wheat). RNAcentral's name for it is "partial small subunit ribosomal RNA". The record is from RNAcentral. Lineage: Eukaryota; Viridiplantae; Streptophyta; Magnoliopsida; Poales; Poaceae.